Molecule: unclassified non-coding RNA, 1095 nt
Filed under: Hevea brasiliensis (rubber tree)
Lineage: Eukaryota; Viridiplantae; Streptophyta; Magnoliopsida; Malpighiales; Euphorbiaceae
Source: RNAcentral
CACAAAUCUUGCUUACACUCCUCCUGAGUACCUAAGAAACGGAAGGGUCACCCCUGAAAGCGUAAUUUACAGUUUUGGUACCGUUCUUCUGGAUUUGCUAAGUGGAAAGCAUAUUCCUCCAAGUCAUGCUCUGGAUAUGAUAAGGGGAAAAAACAUAAUUCUGUUAAUGGAUUCACAUUUGGAGGGACACUUCUCCACAGAUGAAGCAACUGUGGUUGUUGAUCUUGCCUCUCGAUGUUUGCAAUAUGAACCUAGAGAACGGCCUAGUACAAAGGUUCUUGUUGGAACAUUGGCUUCCCUGCAAAUGAAACCUGAUGUUCCGUCAUAUGUAAUGCUUGGAAUUUCAAAACACGAGGAAACCCCACCAACACCUCAGCGUCCCCUCUCACCAAUGGGCGAGGCCUGUUCACGGAUGGACCUCACAGCAAUUCAUCAGAUCUUGGUUAUGACUCACUACAAAGAUGAUGAAGGAACAAACGAGUUAUCUUUCCAAGAGUGGACACAGCAAAUGAGAGAUAUGCUGGAGUCAAGGAAGCGAGGAGACUUUGCCUUCCGUGAUAAAGAUUUUAAAACUGCCAUUGACUGUUAUUCCCAGUUCAUAGAUGUGGGAACCAUGGUUUCCCCUACUGUUUUUGCACGGCGCAGUCUUUGUUAUCUAUUAUGUGAUCAGCCAGAUGUUGCCCUUCGAGAUGCAAUGCAAGCUCAGUGUGUAUAUCCAGAGUGGCCCACAGCCUUCUACAUGCAGUCUGUCGCCCUUGCCAAACUCGAUAUGCAUAAUGAUGCGGCUGACAUGUUAAAUGAAGCUACUGCACUAGAAGAAAAGAAGCAAAAAGGUGGGAAAGCAACAUGAAAAUUAAUUGUACGAUCAAUAAAAGAUCUCCGCACAGAAAAUGCAUUGUCAUUGAGGCCAUGCCCAACUUUAUGUAAAAUUUGAGCUGUGAAUUGAUUAGCUUUUUCGAUAAAAAUUGUAAUAUAGAGAGAGACUUGUUGCAUCAAUGCAUCAUGCAUGUGUAAUUUUCCCUGUUUGUUGGGGAAUUAAUUGAGCUAGCUCUGGCCUGUCGGUUGCGAUCUGAUUUUUCUUGAACACACAUUCCA